This is a long non-coding RNA of Cygnus olor (mute swan), 492 nucleotides long. RefSeq lists it as uncharacterized. The record is from RefSeq and is a predicted model, not a curated record. NCBI's taxonomy places the organism in Eukaryota, Metazoa, Chordata, Aves, Anseriformes, Anatidae. The transcript is spliced from 2 exons.
GGUCACGUGGGGGGCGGGCAGCGCGGGCGCGCCGCUCACCCCCUCGGGCGCCAUCUUGUGCUGGGGUAGGGGAUGGGGGUGCGGGCUGCCAGCCUCCCGGCGCUGCGGUCCUCGGGCUGAAAUGAGGCUGAGAGAGCCGGCUGGGUGCUGGAGAGGGUACAGGGAUCUGCCCUUCUCAUUGCACAGAUGUGAAGCUGAGGCCACAAGAAGUGAAGGCAUUUGCCCCAGGUCAGUGGUGGAAUUGCGUGCAAAAAGCUCAGAAAUUCACUCCUCGUUCACUGGACCUGCCAAGCACCCCUGGAAAUAGUUGUGGUUACACCUCAAGGCUCCCGGGUGAACUUUGGGCUGGUCACCUAAGUUUUCUCUUUAUUCCCUUCUUGUAAAGUACAGAUAUUGGAUCAGACAAGCUACUUAUGCUUGGGUUGCUUUCUACUGUGCUGGUGACCCCAGCUGAUUGUAAAUGCAAUUUAGAUGACAUAAAAGCUGAUCUCU